RNAcentral lists this ribosomal RNA (497 nucleotides) under uncultured bacterium. RNAcentral's name for it is "partial 16S ribosomal RNA". It matches the Rfam family "Bacterial small subunit ribosomal RNA", at positions 28 to 507 of the family's 1533-position model. The record is from RNAcentral.
GAUGAACGCUGGCGGCGUGCCUAAUACAUGCAAGUCGAGCGAACAGAUGAGGAGCUUUCUCUUUUGAUGUUAGCGGCGGACGGGUGAGUAACACGUGGGUAACCUACCUAUAAGACUGGGAUAACUUCGGGAAACCGGAGCUAACACCGGAUAACAUUUAGAACCGCAUGGUUCUAUAGUGAAAGAUGGUUUUGCUAUCACUUAUAGAUGGAUCCGCGCCGUAUUAGCUAGUUGGUAAGGUAACGGCUUACCAAGGCAACGAUACGUAGCCGACCUGAGAGGGGGGGCGGACACACUAGAACGGAACCGCGGCACGGACUACUACGGGAGGCAGGGGAGGAGUAUCGUCCACAAUGGGCGAAAGCCGGGCGGAACCACGCCACGUGAGGGAAAAAGGGAUUGGGUUCGGAAAACUCUGCUAUUAGGGAAGAACAAAUGUGUAAGCAACUGUGCACAUCUUGACGGUACCUAAUGAGAAAGCCACGGCUAACUACGUG